ACAGCUCUUUCCCCAGUCUUCUACCGCUUACAUUUUUUUCUGUAUUUCCUUUUUCCAUGUUCCCUGAAUCUUACAGGAUGAUAGAAGUGUCCUGUUCAGGACUGAGUGCUCUCAAACUGUUCUGUUCCAGCUUCAUUCCUCUAUACCUUGCAACAGAGGUAGGAGAUAUCUUCAAAAAUAGGCUCUUAUCAACUGUCUAUAAUGGCCAACCAAGAGGAGUAAUAUUAUUUUGGUGACAUUAUUGACCAACAACUCAUAAAGGUGGUAUCCCACUCCUGGUACUAGGAUUUUGUUUAAUAACUCAUGACAGUAACAAAAGCAUUAUCCAGAGCUUGAAAGAACAAUACUCAACUUUGGAUGGAAAAAUAAAAACCCAGGAUAUCUAAAACAAUCCCAAAUAAUUCUGGGGAUAUCACCAUCCCUGAUUUCAAGCUGCACUAUAGAGCAAGAGUAAUAUAAAGCACACGGUAUUGGCAUAAAAACAGCCAUGUUGAUCAAUGCUUAAUGAAAUAGAAUUGAAGACCCAGAUGGAAAUCCACACACCUAUGGACACCUGAAUUUUAAGAAAGAAGCCAAAAAUACACAAUGAAAAGAAGAGAGCAUCUUCAACAAAUGGUGCUUAUCUAACUGGAUGUUUUGCAUGUAGAAGAAUACAAAUAUAUCCAUAUCUAUCACCUAGCACAAAACUCAAGUAGAAGUGGAUCAAAGACCUCAAUGGUAAUAUCAGAUACAUUGAAUAUGGUGAGGAAGUGGAGAAUAACCUUGAAUUCAUUGGCACAAAAGAAGAUUUUCUGAAAAGAACACCAAUAGCACAUGCACUAAGAUAAAUGGGACCUCAUGAGACUGAAAAGCAUUUGUAAAGCAAAGGACUCUGUCAGUAGGACAAGACCACAGCACACAGAAUGGGAAAAGAUUUUCACCAACUCUGUAUCUGACAGAGGGCUAAUAUCCAAAAUAUAUAAAGAAUUCAAGAAACUAGAUGUCAACAAACUAAGUAAUCCAAUAAAAAAAAUGGGGUACAGAUCUAAGCAGAGAAUUCUAAACAGAGAAAUCUCAAAUGGCCCAGGAAAACACUUGAAGAAAUGUUCAACAUCCUUAGUCAUCAAGGGAAUGCAAAUCAAAACAAAUUUGAGAUUCUAUCUUACACCUGACAGAAUGGCUAAGAUCAAACCCCUCAAAUGACAGUUCAUGCUGGUGAGGAUGUGAAGCGAGAGGAACACUCCUCCAUGGCUGCUGGGACUCUAUUUUGAUGAGUCUCCCACCCCUUCGUCUUCUCCAUUCUCCCACUUCCCAGCUUUACUUGAAUCUUUUUUACUCUCAGGCAUUCCCUCUCUACUCUGACAUAAGCUAUGGUCUGUUAUUUCCCCCUCCCUUAGGUCCCAUCUCAAUAAACCUCUUUUUGUUUCUUAGUUUUUAUAGAUGAUUCAAGGUCAACAAUGCAAAUCAGAAAUAAGUAACCAGGAUUGCCGCAUGGAAGGGAGCAGCUAGCAUCUGUGUUUCUAUGCCUGGGUUACUUCACAACUGAACAGAAUCUCUUUGUGUCUGUGUACCACAUAGACAUCUAUGCUGAUUCCUUUUUUUUUUUUUUUAAAGCUAUUGUGAAUAGAGCUGUGGUGGGCAUAGAUGAAUGUGUAUCUCUGUACUAGUAUGUAGAGUGUAGAGUCCUUUGGGUAUAUGCCUAAGGAUAAGCGUAGCUGGUUCUUGUGGUAGUUUUAUUUCUAGCUUUUAAAGGAACCUUCAGGUUGAUUUCUAUAUAGGCUAUACCAGUUCACAUUCCCACCAACAGUGAGCAAAUAUUACUCCUUUUUUUUUUUUAGCAACAUUUAUUUUCUUUAUUUCUUUAUAUUAACCAUUUUGAAUGUUAAAUAAAAUGUUUAGUUAUUAUUAGUACAGAGGGGCUAAAAUGGACUUGUGGAUUCUAGCAUGAAAGCUGUUGCCAUGCUGUAGAGACUGAGGUAGCUCAGGUAAGGGUAAAGGAUUCCUUUCCUGACCCUCUGCAUCAUUUUCAUGAUAACAUGAGAGAAAUUGGAGACAUUUCAGAGGUUAAUCUGCAAAUACUGUCUUUAUCAUGAUAAUCAAGGAAUCUAAGUGAUGUUUGCCUUAGAAUAUUUCCUUUUGACACCAGUCUCAGCAGGUGACACUACUUGGGUCAUAAAACAAUUUCUGAAGAUAGGAGGAUUAAGAGAGCUUUGAAGACAGUGUCCAUCAAGAUGCUGCCAUUUUGUACUCAGAUGCUCUAAAUCCUUCUGAGGGUGGGCUCUUCCACGUUGUCACACAAUUCCCAUAUCACUAGUUAACCAUCCUUGCUCAAUGAGCAUAUGACUAAACUCACUUCAUUAGAUCAUGUCGCCAGCCAGUAAAGGUUCACUUCAGAAUUAACCUGGUGUGGUUAGGUUAAGUCAGAACGGUGGCUAGUCCUUGCUUAUUUUCUUGUUUGAGCUUCACUACAGAUGACUUUGGGGCAGUUUUGCCAAGGAGUGGGAGAGCCUCAGUGUCUUUGAGGAAACAAAGGAAGAAAUAGAGAGGUAAAAUUGGGUAGACACUGAAGGAAGAACAUGUUCCACUUUCAUAAGGAAGGUUGAGCUUCCUCUCCUGUUCCCCUUAACUAUACAGGUAACCUAGUAGAGACACCAAGACUUGCUGGUCAUAUUUAUUCUUCUAUUAAAUUGAUUCCUUUAUUUGUUUUCUUGCAGUGAGAAGAAAGGACUGAGGCUGUUGCACAGGCUAGACAUAUGUUCUCCCAUUGAUCUACAUCUACAGCCCAAUUUACCUUUCUAUUUAAUGAUGACAGUAAAUAUUUUCUUUAGG
RNAcentral lists this long non-coding RNA (2808 nucleotides) under Mus pahari (shrew mouse). RNAcentral's name for it is "lncRNA (MGP_PahariEiJ_G0005253.1)". Lineage: Eukaryota; Metazoa; Chordata; Mammalia; Rodentia; Muridae. The record is from RNAcentral.